GACGAACGCUGGCGGCGUGCCUAAUACAUGCAAGUAGAACGCACAGUUUAUACCGUAGCUUGCUACACCAUAAACUGUGAGUUGCGAACGGGUGAGUAACGCGUAGGUAACCUGCCUGGUAGCGGGGGAUAACUAUUGGAAACGAUAGCUAAUACCGCAUAAUAUUGAUUAUUGCAUGAUAAUUGAUUGAAAGAUGCUAUUGCAUCACUACCAGAUGGACCUGCGUUGUAUUAGCUAGUAGGUGAGGUAACGGCUCACCUAGGCGACGAUACAUAGCCGACCUGAGAGGGUGAUCGGCCACACUGGGACUGAGACACGGCUCAGACUCCUACGGGAGGCAGCAGUAGGGAAUCUUCGGCAAUGGACGAAAGUCUGACCGAGCAACGCCGCGUGAGUGAAGAAGGUUUUCGGACCGUAAAGCUCUGUUGUAAGAGAAGAACGGGUGUGAGAGUGGAAAGUUCACACUGUGACGGUAUCUUACCAGAAAGGGACGGCUAACUACGUG
RNAcentral lists this ribosomal RNA (505 nucleotides) under uncultured bacterium. Its description in RNAcentral is "partial 16S ribosomal RNA". It matches the Rfam family "Bacterial small subunit ribosomal RNA", at positions 28 to 507 of the family's 1533-position model. The record is from RNAcentral.